GGCAGCAAUAUAGGAAACAUAUAAUUAAAGAGAUGACAGGGCUGACGGCCUUCAUGUAUUGCCAGAACACCGUUAGCUUUACCGUUCCCACUUCUGUGGUUUCUGCCUGGAUAAGUUUCUCAUUAGGGUUUCUUCUCGGCAGAGGAGGCUCAGCUGGCUUCUUUUCAGCGACUCUUCGUUUCGUUGACAUUUUGUUGGGACACUCUCCUCCCUCAGAAGAUAUUACACUAAGUUGCCUAGUCAAAACAACGGAGCCAUUAGGAGAAAAAGGGCACACUGUGGCUGUGAUGGGCCAAGAACAGGAGGCAGCAGCUCGGAGUCAUGCCCAGCUCUUCUGCUCAGUUCCCACUCCCAGAUACGGGUGGUGCCUGUAUGACCCCCACGGAUGUACAGCGAUGUUCAGUAACAGCAGAAACACCACUGCUUCCAAAGCCCAUGGGGGGCCUGGACACGCUGAUACAGUCACUGGAGCCCUCAGCACAAGCCGGGCUUUCCAAAGCUG
RNAcentral lists this long non-coding RNA (502 nucleotides) under Gallus gallus (chicken). The record is from RNAcentral. Lineage: Eukaryota; Metazoa; Chordata; Aves; Galliformes; Phasianidae.